UAGGGAAUCUGCCGCAAUGGGCGAAAGCCGGACGGAGCAACGCCGCGGGAGUGAUGAAGGUCUUCGGAUCGUAAAACUCUGUUAUUAGGGAAGAACAAAUGUGUAAGUAACUAUGCACGUCUUGACGGUACCUAAUCAGAAAGCCACGGCUAACUACGUGCCAGCAGCCGCGGUAAUACGUAGGUGGCAAGCGUUAUCCGGAAUUAUUGGGCGUAAAGCGCGCGUAGGCGGUUUUUUAAGUCUGAUGUGAAAGCCCACGGCUCAACCGUGGAGGGUCAUUGGAAACUGGAAAACUUGAGUGCAGAAGAGGAAAGUGGAAUUCCCUGUGUAGCGGUGAAAUGCGCAGAGAUAUGGAGGAACACCAGUGGCGAAGGCGACUUUCUGGUCUGUAACUGACGCUGAUGUGCGAAAGCGUGGGGAUCAAACAGG
This 429-nucleotide ribosomal RNA is filed under the name Actinomycetes bacterium. RNAcentral describes it as "Actinobacteria bacterium partial 16S ribosomal RNA". It matches the Rfam family "Bacterial small subunit ribosomal RNA", at positions 355 to 776 of the family's 1533-position model. The record is from RNAcentral. Lineage: Bacteria; Bacillati; Actinomycetota; Actinomycetes.